Molecule: ribosomal RNA, 429 nt
Filed under: Verrucomicrobiota bacterium
Lineage: Bacteria; Pseudomonadati; Verrucomicrobiota
Description: Verrucomicrobia bacterium partial 16S ribosomal RNA
Rfam family: Bacterial small subunit ribosomal RNA
Source: RNAcentral
UGGGGAAUAUUGCACAAUGGGGGAAACCCUGAUGCAGCGACGCCGCGUGAGUGAAGAAGGUUUUCGGAUCGUAAAGCUCUGUUGUUAAGGAAGAACGAGUGUGAGAAUGGAAAGUUCAUGCUGUGACGGUACUUAACCAGAAAGGGACGGCUAACUACGUGCCAGCAGCCGCGGUAAUACGUAAGGUCCGAGCGUUGUCCGGAAUCAUUGGGCGUAAAGGGUACGUAGGCGGAUAAGCAAGUUAGAAGUGAAAUCCUAUAGCUCAACUAUAGUAAGCUUUUAAAACUGCUCAUCUUGAGGUAUGGAAGGGAAAGUGGAAUUCCUAGUGUAGCGGUGAAAUGCGCAGAUAUUAGGAGGAAUACCGGUGGCGAAGGCGACUUUCUGGCCAUAUACUGACGCUGAGGUACGAAAGCGUGGGUAGCAAACAGG